CUGCUGCCUUCCGUAGGAGUUUGGUCCGUGUCUCAGUACCAAUGUGGCCGAUCAACCUCUCAGUCCGGCUACCGAUCGUCGCCUUGGUGGGCCGUUGCCCCACCAACUAGCUAAUCGGCCGCGAGCCCAUCUUUCAGCGGAUUGCUCCUUUGGCUGCAUCGGGAUGCCCCAUCGCAGCGUUAUGCGGUAUUAGCAGUCGUUUCCAACUGUUAUCCCCCUCUGAAAGGCAGGUUGCUCACGUGUUA
RNAcentral lists this ribosomal RNA (245 nucleotides) under uncultured bacterium. RNAcentral's name for it is "partial 16S ribosomal RNA". The record is from RNAcentral.